This 74-nucleotide transfer RNA is filed under the name Saccharomyces cerevisiae YJM269. RNAcentral's name for it is "tRNA-Lys (TTT) (tRNA-Lys-TTT-2-1)". It matches the Rfam family "tRNA". Rfam says of the family: Transfer RNA (tRNA) molecules are approximately 80 nucleotides in length. Lineage: Eukaryota; Fungi; Ascomycota; Saccharomycetes; Saccharomycetales; Saccharomycetaceae. The record is from RNAcentral.
UCCUUGUUAGCUCAGUUGGUAGAGCGUUCGGCUUUUAACCGAAAUGUCAUGGGGUUCGAGCCCCCUAUGAGGAG